UGGGGAAUUUUGGACAAUGGGCGAAAGCCUGAUCCAGCAAUGCCGCGUGUGUGAAGAAGGCCUUCGGGUUGUAAAGCACUUUUGUCCGGAAAGAAAUCCUUGGCUCUAAUACAGUCGGGGGAUGACGGUACCGGAAGAAUAAGCACCGGCUAACUACGUGCCAGCAGCCGCGGUAAUACGUAGGGUGCAAGCGUUAAUCGGAAUUACUGGGCGUAAAGCGUGCGCAGGCGGUUUGCUAAGACCGAUGUGAAAUCCCCGGGCUCAACCUGGGAACUGCAUUGGUGACUGGCAGGCUAGAGUAUGGCAGAGGGGGGUAGAAUUCCACGUGUAGCAGUGAAAUGCGUAGAGAUGUGGAGGAAUACCGAUGGCGAAGGCAGCCCCCUGGGCCAAUACUGACGCUCAUGCACGAAAGCGUGGGGAGCAAAACAGGAUUAGAUACCCUGGUAGUCCACGCCCUAAACGAUGUCAACUAGUUGUUGGGGAUUCAUUUCCUUAGUAACGUAGCUAACGCGUGAAGUUGACCGCCUGGGGAGUACGGUCGCAAAGAUUAAAACUUAAAGGAAUUGACGGGGUCAUAGCUGUUUCCU
RNAcentral lists this ribosomal RNA (587 nucleotides) under uncultured bacterium. Its description in RNAcentral is "partial 16S ribosomal RNA". It matches the Rfam family "Bacterial small subunit ribosomal RNA", at positions 355 to 1375 of the family's 1533-position model. The record is from RNAcentral.